GACGAACGCUGGCGGCGUGCCUAAUACAUGCAAGUCGAACGAGAGCGACCGGUGCUUGCACUGGUCAAUCUAGUGGCGAACGGGUGAGUAACACGUGGGUAACCUGCCCAUCAGAGGGGGAUAACAUCCGGAAACGGAUGCUAAAACCGCAUAGGUCUUCGAGCCGCAUGGCUUGAAGAGGAAAAGAGGCGCAAGCUUCUGCUGAUGGAUGGACCCGCGGUGCAUUAGCUAGUUGGUGAGGUAACGGCUCACCAAGGCCGUGAUGCAUAGCCGACCUGAGAGGGUGAUCGGCCACAUGGGGACUGAGACACGGCCCAAACUCCUACGGGAGGCAGCAGUAGGGAAUCUUCCGCAAAGGACGCAAGUCUGACGGAGCAACGCCGCGUGAGUGAAGAAGGUUUUCGGAUCGUAAAACUCUGUUGUUAGAGAAGAACAAGUGCUAGAGUAACUGUUAGCGCCUUGACGGUAUCUAACCAGAAAGCCACGGCUAACUACGUG
This 498-nucleotide ribosomal RNA is filed under the name uncultured bacterium. Its description in RNAcentral is "partial 16S ribosomal RNA". It matches the Rfam family "Bacterial small subunit ribosomal RNA", at positions 28 to 507 of the family's 1533-position model. The record is from RNAcentral.